GAUGAACGCUGGCGGUAUGCUUAACACAUGCAAGUCGAACGGACUCUUCGGAGUUAGUGGCGGAUGGGUGUGUAACGCGUGAGAAUCUGGCUUUGGGUUCGGGACAACCACUGGAAACGGUGGCUAAUACCGGAUGUGCCGAGAGGUAAAAGAGUAAUUGCCUGAAGAUGAGCUCGCGUCUGAUUAGCUAGUUGGUGAGGUAAAGGCUCACCAAGGCAGCGAUCAGUAGCUGGUCUGAGAGGAUGACCAGCCACACUGGGACUGAGACACGGCCCAGACUCCUACGGGAGGCAGCAGUGGGGAAUUUUCCGCAAUGGGCGAAAGCCUGACGGAGCAAUACCGCGUGAGGGAAGAAGGCUCUUGGGGUGUAAACCUCUUUUCUUAGGGAAGAACAAAAUGACGGUACCUAAGGAAUCAGCAUCGGCUAACUCCGUG
Molecule: ribosomal RNA, 435 nt
Filed under: uncultured bacterium
Lineage: Bacteria
Description: partial 16S ribosomal RNA
Rfam family: Bacterial small subunit ribosomal RNA
Source: RNAcentral